Molecule: long non-coding RNA, 786 nt
Filed under: Anser brachyrhynchus (Pink-footed goose)
Lineage: Eukaryota; Metazoa; Chordata; Aves; Anseriformes; Anatidae
Description: lncRNA (ENSABRG00000020881.1)
Source: RNAcentral
UGUAGUAAAGCCAGCUGAGAUGAAGAACGAGAUCGAGUUCGACAAAUAGUCAAGCACUCCAUUACGAUACAAAUGUAAAAAAAAAAAAAGCUUUAAAUCGCUGAAGGAACAAGAGUUUUUAACAUCUGAAAUAGGAAAAAAAGAAAAGAACAAUUUUCAGGAAUAAUGUAGCACUUAAAACGGUUAUCUUUGGAUAUGACGGUAGUUAGCAUUAAAGUGAUGUUUUGCAUUUUUAAGACGCUGUACAAAUAUUUACUGAUUUCUCAACACCGUCAGGAGGAAGAUAGGGGCUGAGAAAUGUGACAUUCGUGCUGGAUCUCCACGGGCUCCGGAGUUUCUCUUGCGAAUGCAAACGAGAAGCGCUUUGGCCAAGUACUGGGAUGAGGCCCGUAGAGGCUGCUGCAGGAGCUGGAAGGGCUUGGGAAGCUGUUGCAGCUCGUGACCGGGUAAUGAUGACAGCAACGUGCAGCAGAAAGUUUAUUUAGGAUCCCCAGACUGCUGCACAGUACGUUCCUGGGUAUGGCCGUUGUGGAGCUGCAGGGGGAAGGCGCCUGCUUUGCUGGAACAUUUCCUAUCUCAGGAGCUGUUGUUCCCCAUCGCCUGGGGCUUGCGGAUGGAGUUUGCUUGGCACUCACGGAAAGUAUCAGACUUGGCAAUUUUGCGUUGAAGCUGGUAUUCGGUGAACGUUUUUAUCUUCACCAAGAAAGGCAGCAGACAGAAAACAAAAAGAUGAGCGGAAAGCUAUCUCCCACAUCCAACGCUGCAAUCUGGUUUCCUUCCACUUAA